RNAcentral lists this ribosomal RNA (503 nucleotides) under uncultured bacterium. RNAcentral's name for it is "partial 16S ribosomal RNA". It matches the Rfam family "Bacterial small subunit ribosomal RNA", at positions 30 to 523 of the family's 1533-position model. The record is from RNAcentral.
AUUGAACGCUGGCGGCAGGCUCAACACAUGCAAGUCGAGCGGGGUGAUGGUGCUUGCACUAUCACUUAGCGGCGGACGGGUGAGUAAUGCUUAGGAAUCUGCCUAUUAGUGGGGGACAACAUCUCGAAAGGGAUGCUAAUACCGCAUACGUCCUACGGGAGAAAGCAGGGGAUCACUUGUGACCUUGCGCUAAUAGAUGAGCCUAAGUCGGAUUAGCUAGUUGGUGGGGUAAAGGCCUACCAAGGCGACGAUCUGUAGCGGGUCUGAGAGGCUGAUCCGCCACACUGGGACUGGGACACGGCACAGACUCCUACGGGAGGCAGCAGGGGGGAAUAUUGGACAAGGGGGGGAACCCUGAUCCAGCCAUGCCGCGUGUGUGAAGAAGGCCUUAUGGUUGUAAAGCACUUUAAGCGAGGAGGAGGCUCUUUUGGUUAAUACCCAAGAUGAGUGGACGUUACUCGCAGAAUAAGCACCGGCUAACUCUGUGCCAGCAGCCGCCGCAG